This 116-nucleotide ribosomal RNA is filed under the name Pteropus alecto (black flying fox). The record is from RNAcentral. Lineage: Eukaryota; Metazoa; Chordata; Mammalia; Chiroptera; Pteropodidae.
GUCUAUGGCCAUGCCGCCCUGAACAAGCCCGAUAUCUGAUCUCAGAAGCUAAGCAGGGUCGGGCCUGGUUAGUAUUUGGAUGGGAGACCACCUAGGAAGACCAGGUUCUGUAGGCA